RNAcentral lists this ribosomal RNA (503 nucleotides) under uncultured bacterium. RNAcentral describes it as "partial 16S ribosomal RNA". It matches the Rfam family "Bacterial small subunit ribosomal RNA", at positions 30 to 523 of the family's 1533-position model. The record is from RNAcentral.
AUUGAACGCUGGCGGCAGGCUUAACACAUGCAAGUCGAGCGGGGUGAUGGUGCUUGCACUAUCACUUAGCGGCGGACGGGUGAGUAAUGCUUAGGAAUCUGCCUAUUAGUGGGGGACAACAUCUCGAAAGGGAUGCUAAUACCGCAUACGUCCUACGGGAGAAAGCAGGGGAUCACUUGUGACCUUGCGCUAAUAGAUGAGCCUAAGUCGGAUUAGCUAGUUGGUGGGGUAAAGGCCUACCGAGGCGACGAUCUGUAGCGGGUCUGAGAGGAUGAUCCGCCACACUGGGACUGAGACACGGCCCAGACUCCUACGGGAGGCAGCAGUGGGGAAUGUUGGACAAUGGGGGGAACCCUGAUCCAGCCAUGCCGCGUGUGUGAAGAAGGCCUUAUGGUUGUAAAGCACUUUAAGCGAGGAGGAGGCUCUUUUGGUUAAUACCCAAGAUGAGUGGACGUUACUCGCAGAAUAAGCACCGGCUAACUCUGUGCCAGCAGCCGCGGUAA